UUUUAUAUGACUGUAUAUUUCACAUAAAGCAUGAAUUAAUACUUUUCCAACGUGUCUCGCUCAGUUUCUUACCACGUUCAUAAAAUCAAUAGGCUCCAUGCACACAUCAUUUCCGCAUUUGGUGUAAGGGUGCUAUGAUAUUUCCGGUUGCGGCGUUCUGAAUGCAGAAGUGCCGGUAUCGUGGCGGAGUCUUCUCUAAAGUUCACCUGGUGCCUUUUAGAACUUACGGUUAACGACGUCUGUCGUAUUGUCUGAGCAUCAACCACUACACCACAGAGUAAACUUGAAAACAGAUUCAAGUUUUACGUUUCUUCCUACCUCUGCAAUUUUGAAGGUAAGUAAAGUUAAUUCCAGCUAGCCUGAGCUAGGAGUCUAGUACUGUGACUGUUGUGAUUUUUAGUCAUGAUCCGUCUUGCUACAGGUUAAUCAUGUUACUAGAAAUGGCUAUUUUUUUUAACGUGUUUGUAUUUUUGAUGAAAAUAUCAGGCAAAAAUAGAUCUAACUAGAUCACAGUGAGGGCUCACUGCUAGAGAUCAAUGAAGAAAGCAGAGACGCCACAUCAGCUGAGAGUAGGAUUAGUUAAAAUGGCAUGCUCACGUUCAGAGUUCUGUUAAGUAUCACGUUCAAAGUUCGGUUGAACAUGUUCAAAGGUUUGUUCAACACAAGUUUUACCCUUUCUGUUACUUCACUUGAGCUUUGAUAACCACAGGCAAAGAUGUUGGUAGCCAAAUGCAGUUCCAGAGUAGCUGAGUGGGAAUCAGCAAGCCAUAUAGGCUAUUUGGUAUAUAGUAAACAAAUGGGAGAUGUUUUACCAUUCAAGUUAUUAUCAGAGUCGUACUUUAACUUACCUUUAUGGUUCCAAAAGUAGAAAAUAGUCCACUUACUUAGCUAUUCUUCAAACUGCAUGUUCUAACUCAAAGCUGUCCUGUCAUCUUUACUUCUUUACUAACAUACGGCCCCAACUAUUAUACCUAUUAACUGAUAUACCUGAUGACACUCUUCAAGAAGCAGUAGAAGCAAAACCUGCACUGUUCUGUUGGUGGUGGCACUGGCCUUUUAUGUCACUGUAUGUAUGUUUAAACAUUUUCUCUGGAGUUAAAAUGAAGUUCAAGUUGAAAAUAUGUUCAAUUCAUAGUUCACAGAAACAUGAGCUUGUUCAUUUAACUAUUGUAUUUGAACUUACUAGUUCAUGCACAACACUGCACAAGAGUGAGAUAGUAUAGCCAAGUGGUGCAAGACAGUAGGUGAGUCAUGCAGAGCAGCACAAAUGUUACAUGAGACAGUACACGAGUGGCUUGCACCACUAACAACAUGACAGGACAGAUUUUGCUCUUAUUGCCGUUGCUGGAGACCAUCUUUUCAAAAGCCAUUCAUUUUUGCCUCUUUGUAUUUCAGAUGACAUUACAUGAUUCACAACCAGUUGUGCUGGUAAACAGCUACUGCUCUUGUGUGGCUGGUUGUGGAAUCUGCAACCACUUAGUUGCAUUGCUUUACCAGACAACCCAUUGUUCCGAAUGUGGCAUGUCUGUCGUCCCUCCUGUUCUUUAAUGCACGCAGACGGAGCAGAAGUGGCAUAAACCACAAACAAUGGACCAAUGGAUGCCAUGGCUGUCAAAAGCCCAAACCAUGUGCUACAACAGCCAGUGGAGUUAGAUCUGCACUUUACAAGGGCUACAGCGGUGAGCUCCCAGACCCCUCCACCCUCAACCCUGGACCUGCCUACGCUGGAAUGAAGCCAGAAUCUCUUCCACUCAUCUGCAAAAUGAACAUCUCAGCUGAUAAGCCAC
Molecule: long non-coding RNA, 1787 nt
Organism: Epinephelus fuscoguttatus (brown-marbled grouper)
Lineage: Eukaryota; Metazoa; Chordata; Actinopteri; Perciformes; Serranidae
Exons: 3
Source: RefSeq, a predicted model, not a curated record